RNAcentral lists this ribosomal RNA (41 nucleotides) under uncultured freshwater alveolate. Its description in RNAcentral is "partial 18S ribosomal RNA". The record is from RNAcentral.
GUUUCCGUAGGUGAACCUGCGGAAGGAUCAUUCACGCCAAU